GCCUCAUCUCAUGAGGUGCGUGGGCUCCACUUUCAGCCUCCUUAAUUUCCUCAUGUUUAUCCAUAAGAUUAAAUCAAUUAUGACUCUUAGAGUCCUAAUCUAAUUAGGACCCAAUUGAAUCAUGACUCAAUUGAACUCUUCAAUCCUAAUCCAAUUAGGAGUCAUCUUAAUUUAUUAGAUCAAAAUUAAUUAGGACUUUAGGAAUCCUAAAUUAAUUAGGACUCAUAUAAUUUUAGUCCUAAUCCAAUUAGGACUUUAGGAACCUACUCCAAGUAGGACUCUAAUUUAAUUUGAAGUCCUAAUCUAAUUAGGAAUCUAGGAGUCCUACUGCAAGUAGGACUCUUAUUAAAUAAGAUCAAGCCCAAUUAAUUAAGUCCAAUUGAUUUAAUUAAAUUGCAAUCCAAUUGCAAUUAUUUCUUCUUCUACUCACUAACUUUUAGGGAGUUAAAACAAUUAUCAAUCAAAUUGAUAAUUAUAAAUUAUUUGUGAUUCCAAAUCAUAAUUCAACCAUCGGAUCGGUCAAUACCUCUAAUGUGUGUGACCCCAUAGGUUCUAUUCUGUCUGGUAGUGAGAUAUAUUGCGAUCUCUAUCACAAUAUCAUUGAAAACUCCUUUCAAUGGGUUGGAACAAUUCCAACUCAACUCACCAGGGAUCAUCGAUCAUCAAGAUAGUCCUUGUGAGUCUCACCAUCCACCAGUGACACCUAGCAGCAUGUAGUGGCUACCCAGCAGAAUGGAAUGAUGAACCUCUAGGUGCAGUUAUCGUAUGAUACAGUCCUUCUAUCGUGGAUCCCUACAGGAUGGAGGUCAUGGAUAAUUCGUCAAACCCCAUCGUCUGUCAUAUGUCAAGAUUUAUUCGACUUAAGUUCGAGAGUGGAAAACUCCUUUUCCACUAUACAUACUACCCCGGCCGAGGAUUUACGAAAUCAGUCUCAUAAAUCACAUAGGAUCUCUCUUAACCUAUCAAGAUCGAUAGAUUCCAUCUAGAUGCACCCCUACUCCUACAAUGAACCUACUGCAGCCAAUCUGCACCACAAGAACCCAAUUGGCUAGGGCUCAUGUUUAUGUGCUCGUCAAACUACAGCAACCUCAACGAGUGGAUAGACAUCCAAGUGACUACUUGCUAUGGUCACGCUCAGUACCCUUGUUCUCUAACAAGCACUUGCACAAUUACUCCAGUGUCGCCACACUGUGGACUCAAGACUCGUCCAUCAAAGAAGG
RNAcentral lists this long non-coding RNA (1220 nucleotides) under Phoenix dactylifera (date palm). RNAcentral's name for it is "long non-coding RNA (PDAC_LNC006765)". Lineage: Eukaryota; Viridiplantae; Streptophyta; Magnoliopsida; Arecales; Arecaceae. The record is from RNAcentral.